GAUCUGGGCCGAACUCCAAACCACCAGAGAGAAAGGACUCCUUCCUCUCUCUUCUUCUUCUUCUCCACAGAAUCAAAAACUCCUUCUGUCUGACUAUUUUCUUCUCAAGAAAAUUCUCAUCCUCUCAUCUUCAAGAUGAUACGGUGGCCUCAAAUAGGCCAACGCUAAGAGGAGUUAAGAGGCGUUAUUGACCAAGCAUUAAAGAAUUCAUUUAUGGAUGAAUUUCAUAACGCUUGUUUCAAAACAAACGGUGGGAAAAAACUAAUGAAUCGAUGAAAACGUGCCAGAUUUCAAAGAUCUAAAUGAACCGGAAUGUAGCCGGUUCAAAACCGAACAUUCCGGUCCAGACGGCAAGCCGAACGGAGUCCGGAUGGUGGCACGUCGUGGCGUUAAACCAAGGACGGAGAAGACUCUGUUUUUGCUCCCAGGCUUCCUUUCCAUCGCGGCUCACAAGCAUCUCUUAAGGGUCCAUGAGCUUAAGGGUUCAUGGGUCCACAGGAGGUAUUUAAAUGGGAUUUAAAAACCAAGUCAGCCGUUAACCAUUGAAAUGGUUUUAGCCAAAUAGGAAAUGGGUUAGCCCAUUUUGUAAUAAAGCAAGCCUAUUUGGUUCUAAUCC
RNAcentral lists this long non-coding RNA (616 nucleotides) under Phoenix dactylifera (date palm). RNAcentral's name for it is "long non-coding RNA (PDAC_LNC019446)". The record is from RNAcentral. Lineage: Eukaryota; Viridiplantae; Streptophyta; Magnoliopsida; Arecales; Arecaceae.